GGUUCGAUUCUGGCUCAGAUUGAACGCUGGCGGGAUGCUUUACACAUGCAAGUCGAACGGCAGCACGGACUUCGGUCUGGUGGCGAGUGGCGAACGGGUGAGUAAUGUAUCGGAACGUGCCUAGUAGCGGAUAACUACGCAAAGGUAUUAAUACCGCACGCCCUUCGGGGAAAGCGGGGACCUUCGCCUCGCACUAGAGCGGCUGAUAUCGAUUGGCUAGUUGGUGGGGUAACGGCUCACCAAGGCGACGAUCCGUAGCUGGUUUGAGGACGACCAGCCACACUGGGACUGAGACACGGGCCCAGACUGCCGGGGAGGCAGCAGUAGGGGAAUUUUGGACAAUGGGGAAACCGAUCCAGCCAUCCUGCGCAAAAGACGAAGGCCUCAGUUGUGCACACUUUUGGCAGGAAGAACGCACGGGAUAAUACCCCGUGCAACUGACGGUACCUGCAGAAUAAGCACCGGCUAACUACGUGCCAGCAGCCGCGGUAAUGGUAGGUGCAAGCGUUAAUCGAAUUACUGGGCGUAAAGCGUGCGCAGUAUGUCUGGAAAGAAGAUGUGAAAUCCCAGAGCUUAACUUUGGAACUGCAUUUUUAACUACUGAGCUAGAGUGUGUCAGAGGGAGGUGGAAUUCCGCGUGUAGCAGUGAAAUGCGUAGAUAUGCGGAGGAACACCGAUGGCGAAGGCAGCUCUGGAGCAAUACUGACGCUCAUGCACGAAAGCGUGGGAGCAAACAGGAUUAGAUACCCUGGUAGGCCCCACGCCCCAAACGAUGUCAAUCAGCUGUUGGGGCCUGGCCUGGUAGCGCAGCUAACGCGUGAAGUUGAUCGCUCGGGGGAGUACGGUCGCAAGAUUAAAACUCAAAGGAAUUGACGGGGACCCGCACAAGCGGUGGAUGAUGUGGAUUAAUUGGAUGCCACUCGAAAACCUGUACUACCCUUGAUAUGUCUGGAAUCCUGAAGAGAUUUGGGAGUGCUCGCAAGAGAACCGGAACACAGGUGCUGCAUGGCUGUCGUCAGCUCGUGUCGUGAGAUGUUGGGCGAAGUCCUGCAACGAGCGCAACCUCUUGUCAUUAGUUGCUACGAAAGGGCACUCUAAUGAGACUGCGGUGACAAACCGGAGGAAGGUGGGGAUGACGUCAAGUCCUCAUGGCCCUUAUGGGUAGGGCUUCACACGUCAUACAAUGGUCGGGACAGAGGGUCGCCAACCCGCGAGUGGGGAGCCAAUCCCAGGAAACCCGAUCGAAUCCGGAUCGCAGUCUGCAACUCGACUGCGUGAAGUCGGAAUCGCUAGUAAUCGCGGAUCAGCAGUCGCGGUGAAUACGUUCCCGGCCUGUACACCGCCCGUCACACCAUGGGAGUGGGUUUUACUACAGAAGUAGUUAGCUCAACCGUACAGGCGAUUACCACGGUAGAUUCAUGACUGGGGUAAAGUCGUAACAAGCAGUAG
This 1449-nucleotide ribosomal RNA is filed under the name uncultured Bordetella sp. RNAcentral describes it as "partial 16S-23S ribosomal RNA intergenic spacer". It matches the Rfam family "Bacterial small subunit ribosomal RNA". The record is from RNAcentral. Lineage: Bacteria; Pseudomonadati; Pseudomonadota; Betaproteobacteria; Burkholderiales; Alcaligenaceae.